GACGAACGCUGGCGGCGUGCUUAACACAUGCAAGUCGAACGCUGACGCUUGGUGCUUGCACUGUGUGGAUGAGUGGCGAACGGGUGAGUAAUACGUGAGUAACCUGCUCUUGACUCUGGGAUAAGCAUGGGAAACUGGUUCUAAUACUGGAUACGACAUGUCACCGCAUGGUGGUGUGUGGAAAGGGUUUUACUGGUUUUGGAUGGGCUCACGGCCUAUCAGCUUGUUGGUGGGGUAAUGGCUCACCAAGGCGACGACGGGUAGCCGGCCUGAGAGGGUGACCGGCCACACUGGGACUGAGACACGGCCCAGACUCCUACGGGAGGCAGCAGUGGGGAAUAUUGCACAAUGGGCGGAAGCCUGAUGCAGCGACGCCGCGUGAGGGAUGACGGCCUUCGGGUUGUAAACCUCUUUCAGCAAGGAAGAAGCGAAAGUGACGGUACGUGCAGAAGAAGCGCCGGCUAACUACGUG
Molecule: ribosomal RNA, 472 nt
Filed under: uncultured bacterium
Lineage: Bacteria
Description: partial 16S ribosomal RNA
Rfam family: Bacterial small subunit ribosomal RNA
Source: RNAcentral